This 377-nucleotide ribosomal RNA is filed under the name uncultured bacterium. RNAcentral describes it as "bacterial SSU rRNA". It matches the Rfam family "Bacterial small subunit ribosomal RNA", at positions 29 to 414 of the family's 1533-position model. The record is from RNAcentral.
AAUGAACGUUGGCGGCGUGGAUUAGGCAUGCAAGUCGCGCGACAAGGAACCUUCGGGUUCUGGAGGAGCGGCAAACGGGGUAGUAAGGCAUCGGAACGUACCCUCUUGUUGGGAAUAGCCGCGGGAAACUGCGAGUAAUGCCCAAUAAUCCCUACGGGGCAAAGGUCCGCCGCAGGAGGAGCGGCCGAUGUGAUACCAGCUAGUUGGUGAGGUAAUGGCUCACCAAGGCUUAGACGUCUAGGGGGUGUGAGAGCAUGGCCCCCACCACUGGGACGUGAGAUACUGCCCACGACACCUACGGGUGGGCUGCAGUCGAGAAUCUUCGACAAUGGGCGGCAAGACCUCGAUCCAGCCACUGCCGCCGUGAGUGAUGAAGG